AUAUCUGUUAGUUUGACCAUUACUUGGUAAACCGUCACGAUGACCAUUCACGGGAACCUUAUGAAAUAUAACUCCUCUGCCAUGACCAUCUCUCUUACUCUACAAUAUCCAACAACAAUGAUUGAACAACUUACAUACAUAUUAAUCAAAGUAUCAUUAACAAAAACAUUGGAAUCAAAGUAUCAUCUGACCGGAUGGUGGCCGCAAGUUUGAGCAGAGUAGAGAAGAUAAAGUUGAUGUUGAAGUUGAAGUUAAGCGAAGGUGUGGAGGAUGAAGGAUGGAGGUGAAGUUUCAUUUGGGAAUAGAGUGAGAAAGCCGUUGUAUGAUGACAGUGGAGGAGGGAGUAGCUACG
This 352-nucleotide long non-coding RNA is filed under the name Zostera marina. RNAcentral describes it as "long non-coding RNA (ZMAR_LNC006139)". The record is from RNAcentral. Lineage: Eukaryota; Viridiplantae; Streptophyta; Magnoliopsida; Alismatales; Zosteraceae.